GACCUCGGAUCAGGUAGGACUA
Molecule: ribosomal RNA, 22 nt
Filed under: Clavicipitaceae sp. GZU-BCECW4
Lineage: Eukaryota; Fungi; Ascomycota; Sordariomycetes; Hypocreales; Clavicipitaceae
Description: Paecilomyces sp. GZU-BCECW4 partial 28S ribosomal RNA
Source: RNAcentral